ACUACUCCACAGUGUAAUAGGAAUUAACACAAAAGUAGAGCUGUCAUUGAUUUUUGUAUUGAUAUUAUCAUUCUGGUUUAAAUCAGGGAGAACACCUCCAGCACAGAAUUACAUAAAAUGUUUAACUGGGCUCUUGGAGACCGGUGCUUUAUAUUGUAAUUAGAUUGUACAAAAUGUUCUCUAAACAUUUACGUUCAAGUCAUUUAGCAGAUGCUCUUAUCCAGAGCAACUUACAGUAAGAACACUAGAAAUCAUGCAUACAGAAAGGGGAAAUGUAUAAAUAUGCUAAGCAUUGUGUUAACCACUCUUAAAGCUGCAGUAAAUAACUUUUUGGGGGACAUGACCAAAUUCAUAUAGAAAUGAGUUACAGAUCUGUCAUUGAAAGCAAGUCUUAAGAAGCAGUAGAUCGGUUCCAAGUGCGCAAUUUCUAUUCUUCCCGUUACGUUUCGAUUUAGCGUCUUUUGGUUUUGUACAUUGGCUUCAAACAGCAGAAAAUACAAUAUUUUUGGUAAUGGAAAAUAUAUUUCACAGCGGUUUCGAUGGUGCAAUGAUUCUCAACACUAUACUUGCUUAUUUUGUCACAAACUAUUAGAAUUUUAGCAGGCAGGAAAUGCUGGUCAUUUCUGCAUAGUGGGUCUUUAACUGAAUAUCAGCUAGGCUGGUUAUCUGUAGAGAAUUGUCAUAUUAACUAAGCUUUGUCUGUUCUAUAGAGUUAUUACUGACUCAGCCCCCAGGUACUAUUAUUAUUUGACUUAUAUUAGAGAUGUCUACCAAUACAGCACCAGAGACUCUUAAUAUAUUGAAGAGUAUCUGCUAAGACCUUUUUAUAUACCGGCGCUGUUGAGUGGAACAAAUGAUCACAUCAACUCAAAGCCCAUGUUGACCAUAACGUAGUUACAAAUAUAGAAUUUUAACCUGUAUUUAACUAGGCAAGUCAGUUAAGAACAAAUUCUUAUUUACAAUGACGGCCAAUGUGCGCCGCCCUAUGGGACUCAUUAAAAUAAAAAUAAAAACCGGUCUAAUCCAGUUCUGGGACCACACUGGAAAUAUUUUUGUGAUAUCCCUGUCACGUUUUUAAAAUGUUAAUUUUUUUUACUAGCAAAUACACUGAACAAAAAUAUAUAAACGCAACAAGAUUUUGCCGAGUUACAGUUCAUAUACGGAAAUCAGUCAAUUGAAAUAAAUUAAUUAGGCCCUAAUAUAUGGAUUUCACAUGACUGGGGAUAUACAGAUUUGCAUCUGUUGGUUACAGAUGCCUGGAUCAGAAAACCAGUCAGUAUCUGGGGUGACCACCAUUUGCCUCAUGCAGCACGACACAUCUCCUUCACAUAGAGUUGAUCGGGAUGUUGAUUCUGGCGUGUGGAAUGUUGUAGCACUCCUCUUCAAUGGCUGUACGAAGUUGCUGGAUAUUGGUGGGAACUAGAACAUGCUGUUGUACAUGUCGAUCCAGGGCAUCCCACACAUGCUCAAUGGGUGACAUGUCAGCUUAUGCCUGCCCAUAGCAUAACCCCACCACCACCAUCGGGCGCUCUGUCCAAUCAUUGACAUCUGCAAACCACAUGACGCCAUACACGGUCUGCCAUCUUCCUGGUACAGUUGAAACCGG
Non-coding RNA from Salmo salar (Atlantic salmon), 1606 nucleotides. NCBI's taxonomy places the organism in Eukaryota, Metazoa, Chordata, Actinopteri, Salmoniformes, Salmonidae. The record is from RefSeq and is a predicted model, not a curated record.